UUUGUGGAGGGUUCGAUUCUGGCUCAGGAUGAACGCUGGCGGCGUGCCUAACACAUGCAAGUCGAACGGGAUCCCGGGUGCUUGCACCUGGGUGAGAGUGGCGAACGGGUGAGUAAUGCGUGACCAACCUGCCCCAAGUUCCGGAAUAGCUCCUGGAAACGGGUGGUAAUGCCGGAUGCUCCGCUCCUCCGCAUGGGGGUGUGGGAAAGCUUUGGCGUCUUGGGAUGGGGUCGCGUCCUAUCAGCUUGACGGCGGGGUGACGGCCCACCGUGGCUUCGACGGGUAGCCGGCCUGAGAGGGCGACCGGCCACAUUGGGACUGAGAUACGGCCCAGACUCCUACGGGAGGCAGCAGUGGGGAAUAUUGCACAAUGGGCGCAAGCCUGAUGCAGCGACGCCGCGUGCGGGAUGGAGGCCUUCGGGUUGUAAACCGCUUUUGUUCGGGAGCAAGGGAGCCUUUCGGGGUUCUUGAGUGUACCGUUCGAAUAAGCGCCGGCUAACUACGUGCCAGCAGCCGCGGUAAUACGUAGGGCGCAAGCGUUAUCCGGAUUCAUUGGGCGUAAAGGGCUCGUAGGCGGUUCGUCGCGUCCGGUGU
This 594-nucleotide ribosomal RNA is filed under the name Bifidobacterium vespertilionis. RNAcentral's name for it is "bacterial SSU rRNA". It matches the Rfam family "Bacterial small subunit ribosomal RNA", at positions 1 to 595 of the family's 1533-position model. The record is from RNAcentral. Lineage: Bacteria; Bacillati; Actinomycetota; Actinomycetes; Bifidobacteriales; Bifidobacteriaceae.